This 446-nucleotide ribosomal RNA is filed under the name uncultured bacterium. RNAcentral's name for it is "partial 16S ribosomal RNA". It matches the Rfam family "Bacterial small subunit ribosomal RNA", at positions 338 to 795 of the family's 1533-position model. The record is from RNAcentral.
CCUACGGGAGGCAGCAGUCGAGAAUCAUUCACAAUGGGGGAAACCCUGAUGCUGCGACGCCGCGUGGGGGAAUGAAGGUCUUCGGAUUGUAAACCCCUGUCAUGUGGGAGCAAAUUAAAAAGAUAGUACCACAAGAGGAAGUGACGGCUAACUCUGUGCCAGCAGCCGCGGUAAUACAGAGGUCUCAAGCGUUGUUCGGAAUCACUGGGCGUAAAGCGUGCGUAGGCUGUUUCGUAAGUCGUGUGUGAAAGGGGCGGGCUCAACCCGCGGACGGCACAUGAUACUGCGAGACUAGAGUAAUGGAGGGGGAACCGGAAUUCUCGGUGUAGCAGUGAAAUGCGUAGAUAUCGAGAGGAACACUCGUGGCGAAGGCGGGUUCCUGGACAUUAACUGACGCUGAGGCACGAAGGCCAGGGGAGCGAAAGGGAUUAGAUACCCUUGUAGUC